UACGUGGGGAGCAAGCGUUGUUCGGAUUUACUGGGCGUAAAGGGCGCGUAGGCGGUCAGCACAGGUCAGUGGGGAAAUCUCCGGGCUUAACUCGGAAAGGUCAACUGAUACUGUGCGACUAGAGUGCAGAAGGGGCAACUGGAAUUCUCGGUGUAGCGGUGAAAUGCGUAGAUAUCGAGAGGAACACCUGCGGCGAAGGCGGGUUGCUGGGCUGACACUGACGCUGAGGCGCGAAAGCCAGGGGAGCGAACGGG
RNAcentral lists this ribosomal RNA (254 nucleotides) under uncultured bacterium. RNAcentral's name for it is "partial 16S ribosomal RNA". It matches the Rfam family "Bacterial small subunit ribosomal RNA", at positions 524 to 776 of the family's 1533-position model. The record is from RNAcentral.